CCUACGGGAGGCAGCAGUGAGGAAUAUUGGUCAAUGGGCGGGAGCCUGAACCAGCCAAGUCGCGUGAAGGAAGAAGGUACUUAGUAUUGUAAACUUCUUUUGUCGGGGAACAAAGGCGGAGACGCGUCUCCGGAUGAGUGUACCCGAAGAAAAAGCAUCGGCUAACUCCGUGCCAGCAGCCGCGGUAAUACGGAGGAUGCGAGCGUUAUCUGGAUUUAUUGGGUUUAAGGGGUGCGCAGGCGGGAGAGCAAGUCAGCGGUAAAAUGUAGGGGCUGAACCCCGACCGGCAGUUGAAACUGGUUGUCUAGAGUUGGAGAGAAGGAUGCGGAAUUCGUGGUGUAGCGGUGAAAUGCAUAGAUAUCACGAAGAACUCCGAUUGCGAAGGCAGCAUACCGGCCCCAUACUGACGCUGAGGCACGAAAGCGUGGGGAUCGAACAGGAUUAGAUACCCCAGUAGUC
This 459-nucleotide ribosomal RNA is filed under the name uncultured bacterium. RNAcentral's name for it is "partial 16S ribosomal RNA". It matches the Rfam family "Bacterial small subunit ribosomal RNA", at positions 338 to 795 of the family's 1533-position model. The record is from RNAcentral.